This 920-nucleotide ribosomal RNA is filed under the name uncultured bacterium. Its description in RNAcentral is "bacterial SSU rRNA". It matches the Rfam family "Bacterial small subunit ribosomal RNA", at positions 338 to 1277 of the family's 1533-position model. The record is from RNAcentral.
CCUACCGCUGGCAGCAGUGGGGAAUAUUGCACAAUGGGCGAAAGCCUGAUGCAGCGACUCCGCGUGGAGGAUGAAGGCCUUCGGGUCGUAAACUCCUGUCUGGGGGGAUGAACACUGACAGUACCCCCGGAGGAAGCCCCGGCUAACUACGUGCCAGCAGCCGCGGUAAUACGUAGGGGGCGAGCGUUGUCCGGAAUUACUGGGCGUAAAGCGCGCGCAGGCGGCUUGUUAAGUCAGGUGUCAAAAUGCGGGGCUCAACCCCGUAUCGCACUUGAAACUGGCAGGCUUGAGUGCAGGAGAGGGAAGUGGAAUUCCUAGUGUAGCGGUGAAAUGCGUAGAUAUUAGGAGGAACACCAGUGGCGAAGGCGACUUCCUGGACUGUAACUGACGCUCAAGCACGAAAGCUAGGGGAGCAAACAGGAUUAGAUACCCUGGUAGUCCUAGCCGUAAACGAUGGGUACUAGGUGUUGGGGGUGACAAUCCCCCAGUGCCGCAGUUAACGCAUUAAGUACCCCGCCUGGGGACUACGGCCGCAAGGCUGAAACUCAAAGGAAUUGACGGGGGCCCGCACAAGCAUCGGAGCAUGUGGUUUAAUUCGAUGCAACGCGCAGAACCUUACCAGGGCUUGACAUCCUCUGAAGCUAUAAGAGAUUAUAGUGUCCCUUCGGGGCAGAGUGACAGGUGGUGCAUGGUUGUCGUCAGCUCGUGUCGUGAGAUGUUGGGUUAAGUCCCGCAACGAGCGCACCCUUAUCCUCAGUUGCCAUCACUUUGCGUGGGCACUCUGGGAGACUGCCGGUGACAACCGGACGAAGGUGUGGAUGACGUCAAAUCAUCAUGCCCCUUAUGUUCUGGGCUACACACCUGCUACUAUGGCCUGAACCACCGCGCAUGCAAACGGAGCGAUCCGGAGCCAAUCUCUU